UGGGGAAUUUUGGACAAUGGGCGCAAGCCUGAUCCAGCAAUGCCGCGUGCAGGAUGAAGGUCUUCGGGUUGUAAACUGCUUUUGUACGGAGCGAAAAGGUCUGCCCUAAUACGGUGGGCUCAUGACGGUACCGUAAGAAUAAGCACCGGCUAACUACGUGCCAGCAGCCGCGGUAAUACGUAGGGUGUGAGCGUUAAUCGGAAUUACUGGGCGUAAAGCGUGCGCAGGCGGUUAUGCAAGACAGAGGUGAAAUCCCCGGGCUCAACCUGGGACCUGCAUUUGUGACUGUAUAGCUAGAGUACGGUAGAGGGGGAUGGAAUUCCGCGUGUAGCAGUGAAAUGCGUAGAUAUGCGGAGGAACACCGAUGGCGAAGGCAAUCCCCUGGACCUGUACUGACGCUCAUGCACGAAAGCGUGGGGAGCAAACA
Molecule: ribosomal RNA, 427 nt
Filed under: uncultured bacterium
Lineage: Bacteria
Description: bacterial SSU rRNA
Rfam family: Bacterial small subunit ribosomal RNA
Source: RNAcentral